AUUGAACGCUGGCGGCAUGCCUUACACAUGCAAGUCGAGCGGCAGCGCGGGGGCAACCCUGGCGGCGAGCGGCGAACGGGUGAGUAACAUAUCGGGACGUACCCCGUCGUGGGGGAUAACACAGCGAAAGCUGUGCUAAUACCGCAUACGACCUGAGGGUGAAAGCGGGGGAUCGCAAGACCUCGCGCGAUGGAGCGGCCGAUAUCGGAUUAGCUUGUUGGUGAGGUAAAAGGCUUCACCAAGGCGACGAUCCGUAGCUGGUCUGAGAGGACGACCAGCCACACUGGAACUGAGACACGGUCCAGACUCCUAC
This 313-nucleotide ribosomal RNA is filed under the name uncultured bacterium. Its description in RNAcentral is "bacterial SSU rRNA". It matches the Rfam family "Bacterial small subunit ribosomal RNA", at positions 30 to 342 of the family's 1533-position model. The record is from RNAcentral.